This 482-nucleotide ribosomal RNA is filed under the name uncultured bacterium. Its description in RNAcentral is "bacterial SSU rRNA". It matches the Rfam family "Bacterial small subunit ribosomal RNA", at positions 28 to 536 of the family's 1533-position model. The record is from RNAcentral.
GGUGAACGCUGGCGGCGUGCCUAACACAUGCAAGUCGAGCGGUGCAGUUUGAAGCUUCGGUGGAAAGCUGCAUAGCGGCGGACGGGUGAGGAAAACGUAGGAACGUGCCCCUUGGAGUUGGAUAGCCACGGGAAACUGUGGGUAAACCGACAUAGACUCGAGAGAGUAAAGGCCGAAAGGUGCCAAGGGAGCGGCCUGCGGCCCAUCAGGUAGUUGGUAGUGUAAAGGACUACCAAGCCGACGACGGGUAGCCGGUCUGAGAGGAUGGCCGGCCACAAGGGCACUGAGAGACGGGCCCUACUCCUACGGGAGGCAGCAGUGGGGAAUAUUGGACAAUGGGCGAAAGCCUGAUCCAGCAAUGCCGCGUGAGUGAUGAAGGCCUUAGGGUUGUAAAGCUCUUUUACCAGGGAUGAUAAUGACAGUACCUGGAGAAUAAGCUCCGGCUAACUCCGUGCCAGCAGCCGCGGUAAUCGACGAGAGUA